RNAcentral lists this long non-coding RNA (224 nucleotides) under Mytilus galloprovincialis (Mediterranean mussel). The record is from RNAcentral. Lineage: Eukaryota; Metazoa; Mollusca; Bivalvia; Mytilida; Mytilidae.
UGGGUCUAUUUUAUAAGGAUUUUUAUGUUAGCAGUGUAUACUUAGUACAAGUGACUGCAUGUGCAUUUAAGAUUAAUUUUUAGCAAUACAUAGAUAACACGGGUUCAAUCAGCAUAUUGUCUAAACAUUAGAAAAUCAGAGAUUAUAAACUAAAAUAGAAAAAGAAAUCAGUCAAUAAAUAAAUGAAAAUAAAAAGAAGGUAAAAUGUCUCGAAAAUGGGCCGA